UAGGGAAUCUUCGGCAAUGGGGGGAACCCUGACCGAGCAACGCCGCGUGAGUGAAGAAGGUUUUCGGAUCGUAAAGCUCUGUUGUUAAGGAAGAACGAGUGUGAGAAUGGAAAGUUCAUACUGUGACGGUACUUAACCAGAAAGGGACGGCUGACUACGUGCCAGCAGCCGCGGUAAUACGUAGGUCCCGAGCGUUGUCCGGAUUUAUUGGGCGUAAAGCGAGCGCAGGCGGUUAGAUAAGUCUGAAGUUAAAGGCAGUGGCUCAACCAUUGUAGGCUUUGGAAACUGUUUAACUUGAGUGCAGAAGGGGAGAGUGGAAUUCCAUGUGUAGCGGUGAAAUGCGUAGAUAUAUGGAGGAACACCGGUGGCGAAAGCGGCUCUCUGGUCUGUAACUGACGCUGAGGCUCGAAAGCGUGGGGAGCGAACAGG
This 429-nucleotide ribosomal RNA is filed under the name Bacteroidota bacterium. RNAcentral's name for it is "Bacteroidetes bacterium partial 16S ribosomal RNA". It matches the Rfam family "Bacterial small subunit ribosomal RNA", at positions 355 to 776 of the family's 1533-position model. The record is from RNAcentral. Lineage: Bacteria; Pseudomonadati; Bacteroidota.